GAGUAGAGAUACUUUGAGCCCACCGUCACCAAUAUUCACCUCGUCUGCCCAAGUCCACCUUUCGCCAUGAAGGGCCACUCCUCUACGGUAGCAGGGAUGACCAGGACGCGGUGACGCCCAUGGACUGACACUUGUCACACUCCACAAACGAUCCUACCUACAGAGCGGUGGCGCGGGUGGGCACCGGCAAUGAAGAGGGCAUGCUGCAUAUCGACGCUCUUCUUUUGACUACAUGUUCAACCUCGGCCGACAGUGUCAUAAACCGCGUCUUCAACCUCCGUCGUGACCCUUCCUCUCAGACGACAAGCUUGCCACCUUCUCGCUGCUAGACAAAAGUUCACCAGAGAAAAAUGAUCCCAUCACCGGGAUCAACACCGCAGGGUCGUUGACUUGGUUGAUCUCUUCGAUGUAACUGAAAUUGGUGGGUCCAUGUGGUUGGAGAGCACGUUUCUCUGGGAUCUUGAUGCUAUCGUGCUCAUUGUACACGCUCGCGUGAUGGUGCUUGACUCCUUGGAGCAGGCUGGCAACCACCGCCUGUUGGACAAAUUUCAGAAACUUUGUACGAAGCUGGUGCACAUAGGUUCUGGGUUUGUACGAAGCUGGUGCACAUAGCCUUUGUUCAGGUAAAUUAGACAGGCAUGCGGACUAUAGUAAAUAUUGAUAGGAGUACAAGCAUUGGAGGAGUACUCAGUACUCACCAUGUUCGAUGAAGUCGUGGUGGUGGUGGUUGAGGAAGUCGUAGGUAAC
This is a long non-coding RNA of Triticum dicoccoides, 747 nucleotides long. RefSeq lists it as uncharacterized. Lineage: Eukaryota; Viridiplantae; Streptophyta; Magnoliopsida; Poales; Poaceae. The record is from RefSeq and is a predicted model, not a curated record. The transcript is spliced from 3 exons.